GGCAGAAUAGCUCAAAUGGUAAGAGUGCUUGCCUAGCAAGCAUGAGGCCCUGAGUUCAAACCCCAGUGCUGCCA
This is a non-coding RNA of Castor canadensis (American beaver), 74 nucleotides long. The record is from the annotation of a RefSeq genome assembly. NCBI's taxonomy places the organism in Eukaryota, Metazoa, Chordata, Mammalia, Rodentia, Castoridae.